AGAGUUUGAUCCUGGCUCAGAACGAACGCUGGCGGCGUGUUUAAGACAUGCAAGUCGCACGGAGUCAUUUGUGUAGCAAUACUUGAAUGGCUUAGUGGCGCACGGGUGAGUAACAUGUGAAUUACAUGCCCUAUAGUGGGGAAUAGCCCAGGGAAACUUGGAUUAAUACCCCAUGGUCUCGCAAGAGUAAAGGUGGCCGCAAGGCUGUCGCUAUAGGAUUGGUUCGCACCCUAUCAGCUUGUUGGUGAGGUAACGGCUCACCAAGGCUACGACGGGUACCUGGUCUGAGAGGACGAUCAGGCACACUGGAACUGAGACACGGUCCAGACACCUACGGGUGGCAGCAGUCGAGAAUAAUUCACAAUGGGGGCAACCCUGAUGGUGCAACGCCGCGUGGAGGAUGACGGUCUUCGGAUUGUAAACUCCUGUCAUCUGGGAGUAAGACCUGGUCGUUAAUAGCGGACAGGGUUGAUAGUACCAGAAGAGGAAGGGACGGCUAACUUCGUGCCAGCAGCCGCGGUAAUACGAAGGUCCCGAGCGUUGUUCGGAAUCACUGGGCGUAAAGGGAGCGUAGGCGGCGUGGUAAGUCAGAUGUGAAAUCCCGGGGCUCAACCCCGGAACUGCAUCCGAUACUGCCGUGCUAGAGGAUUGGAGAGGUAGCUGGAAUUCUUGGUGUAGCAGUGAAAUGCGUGGAUAUCAAGAGGAACACUCGUGGCGAAAGCGAGCUACUGGACAACUCCUGACGCUGAGGCUCGAAGGCCAGGGUAGCGAAAGGGAUUAGAUACCCCUGUAGUCCUGGC
This 800-nucleotide ribosomal RNA is filed under the name uncultured bacterium. Its description in RNAcentral is "bacterial SSU rRNA". It matches the Rfam family "Bacterial small subunit ribosomal RNA", at positions 8 to 800 of the family's 1533-position model. The record is from RNAcentral.